RNAcentral lists this ribosomal RNA (253 nucleotides) under uncultured prokaryote. RNAcentral describes it as "partial 16S ribosomal RNA". It matches the Rfam family "Bacterial small subunit ribosomal RNA", at positions 524 to 776 of the family's 1533-position model. The record is from RNAcentral.
UACAGAGGGGGCAAGCGUUGUUCGGAAUUACUGGGCGUAAAGGGCGCGUAGGCGGCCUGCUAAGUCGAACGUGAAAUCCCUGGGCUCAACCCAGGAACUGCGUCCGAUACUGGUUGGCUUGAAUCCGGGAGAGGGACGUGGAAUUCCAGGUGUAGCGGUGAAAUGCGUAGAUAUAGGAAGGAACACCAGUGGCGAAGGCGACUACCUGGACUGAUACUGACACUGAGGUGCGAAAGCGUGGGGAGCAAACAGG